This 775-nucleotide ribosomal RNA is filed under the name uncultured Neocallimastigales. Its description in RNAcentral is "partial large subunit ribosomal RNA". It matches the Rfam family "Eukaryotic large subunit ribosomal RNA", at positions 24 to 634 of the family's 3401-position model. Lineage: Eukaryota; Fungi; Neocallimastigomycota; Neocallimastigomycetes; Neocallimastigales. The record is from RNAcentral.
UAUCUCUGUAGAGUCUGCAUAUCAAUAAGCGGAGGAAAAGAAACUAACUAGGACUCCCUCAGUAACGGCGAGUGAAGCGGGAAGAGCUCAAGUUUGAAAUCUUCAAGGUUUACCUUGACGAAUUGUAGUUUAAAGAAGUGUUUUCUGUUGGAGUUUUGGUAAAAGUUCUUUGGAAUAGGACAUCAUAGAGGGUGAGAAUCCCGUAUUUGACCAUUACUUUCCAGCUUUGUGAUACACUUUCAAAGAGUCGGAUUGUUUGGGAAUGCAGUCCAAAAUGGGUGGUAAAUUUCAUCUAAAGCUAAAUACUUGGCGAGAGACCGAUAGCGAACAAGUACCGUGAGGGAAAGAUGAAAAGAACUUUGAAAAGAGAGUUAAACAGUACGUGAAAUUGUCAAAAGGGAAGCGUUUGACACCAGUGUUGUUUUCUCGAAAAUCAAUUAAAAAAAGUUGGAUUUUGUAUUGUUAAGACCUUAUCAGCUUACUGUACUCUUUUCUUGCUUUUUUUAAUGCACUUUUCGUUUAACAAGUCAACAUCAAUUUCUUUUGUUGUAAAAGGGUCAUUGGAAGGUGGCUUUCUUUUCGGAGAAAGUGUUUAUAGCCUUUGGCCUCUGCAAUCGGAGAGAUUGAGGUCUGCAGCGUAGAUCCUUCGGGGCUAGAUACGUAGAUGCUAAGUUAUAGUUUUUUAUAGACAACUUGUUGACUAUAAUUAAUCAUGUAGCUUACUCGUUUGCGCUAUUUUACCUACGCUUAGGAUGUUGACGAUCAGCUGAGCGCG